Long non-coding RNA from Octopus sinensis (East Asian common octopus), 88 nucleotides. RefSeq lists it as uncharacterized. The transcript has 4 exons. Lineage: Eukaryota; Metazoa; Mollusca; Cephalopoda; Octopoda; Octopodidae. The record is from RefSeq and is a predicted model, not a curated record.
AAAAUAUGGCAAGUUUCUAAUAGUACAGGAAGUUUUACAAAAUCCUUUAUAUUUCAGGCGCAAAGGCCCAUCCUCAGAAGGAAACAGU